GCGGUUUCCGGCUCUUAGCGUGCGGAGAGCGCGUGGCUGGAGGAGCAUCAUGGCGGCUGAGGGAGUCGAGGAGCGACGGUGGAGACAAGGCAGAGGGAGGCCCCAGUGCUUUGGAGAACAGCUUGACUCCCUCUUCUUUGGGGCAGCCCCUGAGAUAUCGGAACACUGCUCUGAUGUCACCCUUGGUAUGCGAUGACCCGUAACUGGGCACGGAAACAACACAGCCGAAACGAAGACUGAACUCCCCUUUAUUGCUCCAACUUUCCUCCAAAAAUCCCACCGUUCACUGCAGAUCCCGGAGCAAAAGCUCUGAAGAUGCAUUUCUUAAUAGUUCCUGCCUGUUAUUAGUCCAGAGGAGCAGUUCAGUUCUGAGAGCAGCCACAGUUCAGGGAAGUUGUUUCCAAGGCGUCCUCGCCACAGAAAGAAUUCACCGGUACUGCACCCACCAUCCGGAGUAUAACUGUGUCACUGUGACCUCGCAUGGAGCCACGCCAGCAUGGCAAACAAGGCGAAGAAGACAAUGCCAGCAAAGUAUCCAGAUGUCGGUAACAGCACGUGAGGCUGCAAAAAGCCACGCUUCGUUCCCGACAAACGCCCCUCCCAACAGUGUCUCUUUAAAGCUCAUUCCCCAGGAAUCCCAAAACACACACCCAUUUGCAUUCUGGCUCAGGUACCCUGAGGGUACAGAUAAAUUCCCAAAUUAGUUCCCUCAUUGGAGCCUGAGUCCGAGGAUGGGACGGAGCUAGGGCCAAUGGAAGAAGGACCGGAGGAGCAGGACAAGGCACUCCUUGGUCUCUCGGGCCUAGAAGAUUUCAGAUUAAGAUGGCGGAUGUCCUGCCCGUUACAUGACUGCAUGGCUCCCCUUUAAUCUUUGCAGAGAUCUUCUCUCAUCCAGAAUGUCGUCGGGAAUAAGUUAUUAAAUCAGAAUUUCAGCCUUGGGAAGACUGGGCAAAACGUCUCGGAAUGCAACAUCCACGCGUUUUUAUUUUGAAAAGACUCACGAAGAAAAGAACGAGACCUGCCAAUAUGAAUUGGAUAAAAUUUUACAAGGAUCACAGGACAAAUUGAUAAAAAAAAAUUAUAAUUAUUUACGAGGAUAUAAAUUAGAGGAAGAGGUGGUUAAAGAAAACAUCUGGGCAAAGAAUUUUGGCUAUAAUAUUGAAUUAGACAAAUGGGAAAAAUUAUGGAUAAUAAAUUAUAAAUUAACAAUGUCUGUACCCUAUAAAGAAAGUCUGUACAAAAUAUUUUAUAGGUGGCAUCUUCCACCGGCCAGAUUGGCAAGAAUGUUCCCCAAUACUUCCCCAACAUGCUGGAAAUGUAAACUUCACAAAGGAACCUAUUAUCACAUGUGGUGGACCUGCCCAAAGGCAAAACAAUACUGGCAAAUGAUUAGAAGACAAAUAGAAGAAAUUGCAAAACAAAGAAUAGAAAUGAGGCCAGAAACCUUUCUACUAGGCAUAAUAAAUGGACAAUACGAAAAGGAAAUAAAAUAUUCAAUCAUUCAUAUAAUAACAGCAGCACGAAUAAUUUUUGCACAAAAUUGGAAGAGUAACGACAUACCAACAGAAGAUAGAGUAAUUAGUAAAAUCAUGGAAUGUGCAGAAAUGGACAGACUCACAAAGGAAUUACAAGAUAAAGAGGAACAUGACUACUAUUUAGUACGGGAAAAGUGGUACACUUGGGUGGAAGGCAGAAAAGGAAGAAAAAAAGGCUAGGAACUAAUUGGUGUGACCUGAUAUAGAAAUAGGAACAUAAACCAUUAAUGCAAGUUAACUGAAUUACAAAGAGAGAUAUAAGAGAAAGACCAAAACGAGGAUUCGAAAGCACAAAUAAGAACAUAGAUUACAGUUGCAACAACUUUGAUAAGAUGUAUAUUUGAAUUUUUGUUUACAUGUUCUGUAUGUUUUGUUGUUACUUGUUUUAUUCUGUUUGUAUUUUUUAAUACAAACAACAAAUGUCGGCUGGCGACCCCCAGGAGGAGAGCCUUCUCUAUGGUGGCACCUACCCUUUGGAACAAUCUACCCCUAGAGAUACGAGUGAUCUCCGACCUCCGGACUUUUUGUCGGGCCCUAAAAACUUAUUUUUUUUCAGUUAGCCGGUCUGUCCUGAUUUUAUGGUUGGUUUUAAAAUUUGAUAAGGAUUUUUAAAUUGAUAAGUUUUAAAUUACAGGCCAAAUUUAUUUAAUUAUUUUAAAUCUAUUUUUAACUUUAUGUAUAAAUGUUUUUUAUCUUGGCUGUUCACCGCCCUGAGUCCGAAAGGAGAAGGGCGGUAUAGAAGUUUGAAUGAAUGAAUGAAUGAAUGAAUGAAUGAAUGAAUAAAUAUUCAAUUAAAAAAAGAGAAAAGAACCAGACCUAUUUUGUUCAGGAAAAGGCCCAAAUAGAGACCCAUCAUGGAUUGUUGCAGUGAGCCUGUUGGGGAAAGACAGUGGAUCAUUUUGAUUUAUUUGUAAUAAAGCUGGAAGGACACACUGAACAGCUUCCUCUCUUGAUUGGAAACAAAAAUAUUGUAUUUUGAAACACAUUUCCUCCCUCUAGUCCAGUGAUGGCUAACCUUUUUGCCGUCACAUGCCAAAAGCGGGGGGAGUGCGGGGGGGUCGUGCGCAUGCCCACACCUAUAAAUUCAAUGCCCCUCUGUGCAUAUGUGAGUGACCGCCCCCUGCCUCACCCCCGCUUUUGGCACACCGGCAAAAAGUUUACCAGAAGGCCCGUUUUUCACCCUCCCCAGGCUCCAGAGCCUUUCUUGGAAUCUGGGGAGGGCAAAAACAGCCUUCCCCACCCUCCCAGAAGCCAGAAACGGCCCGUUUCCCGACUUCCGGUGGGCCAGAAGGCCCGAAAAUUGGCUGGCGUGCUGGAGCUGAGCUAGGGCAACAUUCGUGUGCCCACAGAUAAGGCUCCGCGUGUCAUCACGGCUCUGGUCCUUCACCAUUUCCGUACAGCUUGCAAUAUUUCACUUCUUUUUUCCCCAAUGCCUGGAUCUUAGAUGAAUUAACAGAUCCACACUCUUCAUUUCAUUAUACAAGUUUAUCUUAAUACUGGCUUCAAGUCUUGAGUAAUGGGAAAACGACACACAAUUGUUUGCACACGCCCGUGGCAAAAAUCUGGUUUCCACACACCUUUUGCUCACCCGGUCUGCAUUUCUGUAAUAAAUAAAUGUUUCCACUCACA
Pantherophis guttatus is the source of this 3164-nucleotide non-coding RNA. NCBI's taxonomy places the organism in Eukaryota, Metazoa, Chordata, Lepidosauria, Squamata, Colubridae. The record is from RefSeq and is a predicted model, not a curated record.